AAAUUGAAGAGUUUGAUCAUGGCUCAGAUUGAACGCUGGCGGCAGGCCUAACACAUGCAAGUCGAACGGUAACAGGAAGCAGCUUGCUGCUUCGCUGACGAGUGGCGGACGGGUGAGUAAUGUCUGGGAAACUGCCUGAUGGAGGGGGAUAACUACUGGAAACGGUGGCUAAUACCGCAUAACGUCGCAAGACCAAAGAGGGGGACCUUCGGGCCUCUUGCCAUCAGAUGUGCCCAGAUGGGAUUAGCUUGUUGGUGAGGUAACGGCUCACCAAGGCGACGAUCCCUAGCUGGUCUGAGAGGAUGACCAGCCACACUGGAACUGAGACACGGUCCAGACUCCUACGGGAGGCAGCAGUGGGGAAUAUUGCACAAUGGGCGCAAGCCUGAUGCAGCCAUGCCGCGUGUAUGAAGAAGGCCUUCGGGUUGUAAAGUACUUUCAGCGGGGAGGAAGGUGUUGUGGUUAAUAACCACAGCAAUUGACGUUACCCGCAGAAGAAGCACCGGCUAACUCCGUGCCAGCAGCCGC
RNAcentral lists this ribosomal RNA (528 nucleotides) under Salmonella enterica. RNAcentral's name for it is "bacterial SSU rRNA". It matches the Rfam family "Bacterial small subunit ribosomal RNA", at positions 1 to 518 of the family's 1533-position model. Lineage: Bacteria; Pseudomonadati; Pseudomonadota; Gammaproteobacteria; Enterobacterales; Enterobacteriaceae. The record is from RNAcentral.